RNAcentral lists this long non-coding RNA (240 nucleotides) under Homo sapiens (human). RNAcentral describes it as "LHRI_LNC1600.1". The record is from RNAcentral. Lineage: Eukaryota; Metazoa; Chordata; Mammalia; Primates; Hominidae.
UGGAUUGAGAGACACACAUAGCUGGUCAAACACGAUUUCAGCCAUGAAUCAGGCAUAAAUAUUCUGAUGGUUAAUUGUAGACAUCUACUUGACUGGAUUGAGAGACACACAUAGCUGGUCAAACACGAUUUCAGCCAUGAAUCAGGCAUAAAUAUUCUGAUGGUUAAUUUUAGACAUCUACUUGACUGGAUUAAGGGACACACAUAGCUGGUCAAACACAAUUUCAGCCAUGAAUCAGGC